CUCACAGAGUGGUCUCCCUGGGAAGGGCAGGGAGGUCCCAUCCAGGAAAGCAGCAGACAAACUGAAAAGAGAGAACAUUUCACCUGUUUACAAUCAUCACCUCCAGGUCCUUCCAAGACUCCACAACCAAGACAGCAGCCUGUCAGGGCCUCACUGUUCCCUGCACACUUAUUCUCUUCCCGAGCCACCCCCACUUUCUGCUCCCCAACCUCUAAUCAGGCAGAUCAGUGCCCAACUCAAACGGGAUCUACCUUGGGUGCAGUCAGAAGUUCUGGAGACCAACUCCUUUCUCUGAGAAAUCGACUUUCUGUCUGGCUUGAGACAAACCCGAGUCAAGUAAGCUAAACGGUCAGAGAAGAAAAUCAGUGACCUAGCCCUUAUCAGGUUUCUGAAGACACAAAGGUGCUGUGAAGGGCAAAUUGGGUCCCAAGAUCUGCCAGGAGGGCCCAGGAGGUGGCCAAAAAGACGUGGCCCAGACUAGCAAAAGCACAGUAAGCGCAAGAGGGGCCUCGGCUGGUAUGGGGAGGAGAGGGCCCGGCUACGGGAGGCCGCUGAUUACACACUUUCUGUCAGUGUACGUUUUCCAGUACAUCAACUUCCUUCCACCUUCAAAUUAAUUGGGAUGAUAGUGUUCCAUGUCAGAGUGACAAAAAUUUAAUCUUCCACACAAAUUCAAAUCGCAGUUUCUUUAAAAAUUUGCAAGGGAUCAAAAACGUUCAUGUCAACAUUCUCUGGGGUGGAAAACAGAGUAUGAACUACAAAUUUGUCUUUAAGUUUCCCUCGAAGGGUGGAAAAUUCCCAUUGCCGCCUCAGAAAUCCUAGAGAGCCCCGGAGUUACCAUACGUCCUGAGCAUCCUUUUGUUUCCUCCGAUUUUCGCCUGAUGAAAGACACAGCUGAGUCAAGCCAGAAGAAUAUUCUUCCUUUCCUUCUUUCGAACUUCUGAGUUGGCUAAUGGAGUCCAGCGAUGACGCCCGCCCUUGACCGAGUCGGAGAAGACAUGAAAGCACAACAGUUGGAGAUAUAUAAUUUUAAGUCGGCAAAGAGAAGACAAAGUUCCGGCUGGAAUCAUGAAACACAGCAGCGUAGAGGGACCCCUUAUUCCAGGUCGCCCGCCUGGGUCGCCGGUAGAAUUCAUCGCCUGGAGGGUCCCAGAUUGUCAGACGGGUCUCCCUUCUCUCUGCACUCUGUAGCAGCCCUAACGGCGGCUGGGAGACGGUUUUCGGAUUCAUAAGCGCCUGAGACACUGAGUAUUUCCUUAGGGCGCCAAAAGCAGAGAGCAAGUGCCCCGCAGGCUGUAAAAGUCUUGGAAAUUGGGGGCCGCACCAGUUUUAUGCCCAUGAAAGCGGGGCCUGGUUCCACGUGGGCAGUACUUGCCCGCUUAAACACAGAGGAAUCGGCGGCCAGAGAGCGAGGCCUCAGAGCUCCCGUAGCUUUUAGAAAGACUACACUUACGUUAAUUUUGUGGUAAGUUCCAAGAUCUACGGCUGAACAGUUCAGCACCACAGGCUGGACUCAAAGGAGAAUAUAUAUUGCAAAUCUCAAGUCCUGAUGGUGCAAUGGGAAUUACAGAGCCUAGUAUAUAGUACACGGCACAUGAGAAAUUUUACUUUUGUUUAUGUCCACAUUUGUGGGAAGGGGUGAAGGAAGCAAAGCAAAAUAACAAGACAGAAACGUAAGAGGAUGCAAAAAGUUUGCUCAGUGUUGUUUGUGAUCCUUGUAUUCAUGGGCCUUAGAGUAAAUUUCUCCUCCCACAGUCCAGCAAUAUCCCAGGACAUUUAUAAUCCCAAAAUGCAGGUGGGGAGGGAGAUCCAGAGAACUCACUGGCCUGAGGCUACAAUGGAAGAUACACUUUCUGCCGCAUUCAUCCACAUGAUGCCACUGCUAGGAGAGGGAGCUAUCCUGAGACAGCUCAAGACCCCUGAGCAGUUCUGGAGGCUGAGAACUGCCAAGGACAUGGUGCCAGCCCAUCAGGUGUCUGGUAAGAGUCCUCUUCUGGGUUGCAGACUGCUGACAUCUCACAUGGUGGAAGGGCAAGCAAGAUCCCUGGUGCCUCUUUUAUAAAGGCCCACCUGGACCCACUGGGAACUCCAUGCCCACCGAUUUCAAACUGUACAAAAUAGAGGGUGAGACAACUCAUAAACAGCCUCGAGCAGGAACCUCAGACUGCUGAGCGGAAGAAAGUGGAGAACAGCUACACCUGGAAGUUUGAGGACCUGGGCCAUCAUUAGCUCAUGAUGUCUUGGCUGCUUGAGGAGGACAGUCUGUACCGGCCUCUUGUCCCCUGAGGAAGCUACAGGCUGGAAGAAGUUACAUUCCCGGUUUAUUUGAAAUCUGAAACUUCAGCUACUCUAAAUUCUGCCUGAGGCCUGUGGAAGAAAAUUGUGAAUGUCAGCUCUUGAGAGAAGCCUCCUUUGACCAAUAUAAUCAAAAUACCCCGUUCCCGCCCAGCAGUUCCCAUCUUUCCUAUUUUAUUUGCUCUCUUGCCCAGGAUGAUGCCUCAGAGCAUGUCAGAGGCUUCUGUAGCUGUAAAGAAGAGCUAAGCUCAAGUACUGUCUCAUAGACCAGACUCCUCCAUGUGUGGCUUCUGAAACAAUCCACUAGCUAAUGGAGAGGACUAAUGGAGAGAGCCAGCAAAGAGCACUAUGGGCUUCUAAGAGUGGCCCUGGAACUCCUGGCCCACAGGUUGCACCUCCUCAUUCCAUCUUAGCUGCGAGUUAAAUACUAUCUGGCUUUUGUGACACUUUAGGCUAAUGUGCUUGAAGCAUCUCAUCCACCCCUCCUCAGUCCCCAAGAAUCUGAAUAGGCAUUGCCACGGUUCAGUAAUCAAA
RNAcentral lists this long non-coding RNA (2829 nucleotides) under Equus caballus (horse). RNAcentral describes it as "lncRNA (ENSECAG00000050369.1)". The record is from RNAcentral. Lineage: Eukaryota; Metazoa; Chordata; Mammalia; Perissodactyla; Equidae.